This 465-nucleotide ribosomal RNA is filed under the name Vreelandella stevensii. RNAcentral's name for it is "partial 16S ribosomal RNA". It matches the Rfam family "Bacterial small subunit ribosomal RNA", at positions 338 to 795 of the family's 1533-position model. The record is from RNAcentral. Lineage: Bacteria; Pseudomonadati; Pseudomonadota; Gammaproteobacteria; Oceanospirillales; Halomonadaceae.
CCUACGGGUGGCAGCAGUGGGGAAUAUUGGACAAUGGGGGCAACCCUGAUCCAGCCAUGCCGCGUGUGUGAAGAAGGCCCUCGGGUUGUAAAGCACUUUCAGUGAGGAAGAACGCCUGGUGGUUAAUACCCAUCAGGAAAGACAUCACUCACAGAAGAAGCACCGGCUAACUCCGUGCCAGCAGCCGCGGUAAUACGGAGGGUGCGAGCGUUAAUCGGAAUUACUGGGCGUAAAGCGCGCGUAGGUGGCUUGAUAAGCCGGUUGUGAAAGCCCCGGGCUCAACCUGGGAACGGCAUCCGGAACUGUCAAGCUAGAGUGCAGGAGAGGAAGGUAGAAUUCCCGGUGUAGCGGUGAAAUGCGUAGAGAUCGGGCGGAAUACCAGUGGCGAAGGCGGCCUUCUGGACUGACACUGACACUGAGGUGCGAAAGCGUGGGUAGCAAACAGGAUUAGAUACCCUUGUAGUC